This 498-nucleotide ribosomal RNA is filed under the name uncultured bacterium. Its description in RNAcentral is "partial 16S ribosomal RNA". It matches the Rfam family "Bacterial small subunit ribosomal RNA", at positions 28 to 523 of the family's 1533-position model. The record is from RNAcentral.
GAUGAACGCUAGCUACAGGCUUAACACAUGCAAGUCGAGGGGUAGCAGGGUAGCAAUACCGCUGACGACCGGCGCACGGGUGAGUAACACGUAUCCAACCUUCCCAUAACUCGGGGAUAGCCUUUCGAAAGAAAGAUUAAUACCUGAUAGUACUUAAGAAAGGCAUCUUUUUUAAGUUAAAGAUUUAUUGGUUAUGGAUGGGGAUGCGUUCCAUUAGAUAGUUGGUGAGGUAACGGCUCACCAAGUCUUCGAUGGAUAGGGGUUCUGAGAGGAAGGUCCCCCACAUUGGUACUGAGACACGGACCAAACUCCUACGGGAGGCAGCAGUGAGGAAUAUUGGUCAAUGGGCGAGAGCCUGAACCAGCCAAGUAGCGUGAAGGAUGAAGGUCCUAUGGAUUGUAAACUUCUUUUAUAGUAGAAUAAAGUGAACCACGUGUGGUUUUUUGUAUGUAUACUAUGAAUAAGGAUCGGCUAACUCCGUGCCAGCCGCCGCAGUAA